ACUAAUGUGACAGAAUUAUGUGACAGCUUUAAAGCCUGUUUAUGAGAAAUCUCCUUUGGUG
This 61-nucleotide transfer RNA is filed under the name Hyalella tiwanaku. RNAcentral describes it as "tRNA-Leu". The record is from RNAcentral. Lineage: Eukaryota; Metazoa; Arthropoda; Malacostraca; Amphipoda; Hyalellidae.